GUAAGUUUGGACUUGGCUAAACAUUGAGUUGUAUGAUGGGAACCAAUUAUUUAUUUAAGCAUUACCUCGUCAUAUAGGAACAACAGACUUCGAAUACUCUCUACUUACCCUAACAGAUGAGGCUCUAGCUUUGAUUGGUUUUCCUCUCUGCUUUAGAAUGCCUGGAAAAGGAGCCUGGAACUGCCUCCCAAGGAGGAAGUGACCCAGUCUUUCUGCAUGGCAGAUGGCCAAGCCACCGCCUGCACCCCUCCUGUUAACAUGGCUCCGGAGCCUGGACGGGAGGCCGGUGCCAGGCAGCGGAGGAUCUGGAGAGAAAAAUGCUUUCCGAAGUGUGAUAAGCUGGAUCAAAGCAAUCAAAAGCAAAACAGAUUGAAAUCAACGCUUGACAAAGUUCUUGAACUGGUUAUUUGUUUCUGACACAUUAAAUCUUCUCAAAGGCGUUGAAACUUGGACAAGCAUUUUUGACCUAAUCUGCCCUGGUAAGACCCUGAAUGAGGUAAAGAAUGAUUGUAUAACUCUGUUUAUUCUGUCAAGAAUCAAUUACCUGAUGGUACAGAAAGGCCCUUCUUAAUCCUCAGAGAAAAAAGAUUGAUUAAGAGGGGGUGGGUCUUUGUGGCAGCAUGUCACUAUCACAGGUUGUGUUUAGGAGAUGGGGUUUGUCCUAGGGGUUGAGAUCCACCUAAGACACUCACAUCUCACAUCACGGUGCCAGGGUUUGUAUUCUGACUUGGCUCCCCAAUUCUGCUUCCUACUAAUUCACACCCUAGAAGGCAGCAAGUGAGGGCUCAAGUACUUGGGUUCCUGCCAUCUACAUCGGCUCCUGGCUCCUGGCUUUGCCCUGGCCCAAACCUGGCUGUUGUGAGCAAUUGGGGUGAACCAGUGGGUGGGAGAACUGUCCGUCCAUCUGCCUCUGACUGCCUUUCUCUCAUUCUCUCUGCCUUUCAAAUAAAUAAAAAAAAUUUUUUUGACAGGCAGAGUGGAUAGUGAGAGAGAGAGAGAGAGAGAGAGAGAGACAGAGAGAAAGGUCUUCCUUUUUGCCGUUGGUUCAUCCUCCAAUGGCUGCCACGGCCAGCGCACUGCGCUGAUCCGAUAGCAGGAGCCAGGUACUUAUCCUGGUCUCCCAUGGGGUGCAGGGUCCAAGCACUUGGGCCAUCCUCCACUGACUUCCUGGGCCACAGCAAAGAGCUGGCCUGGAAGAGGGGCAACUGGGAAAGAAUCCAGCGCCCCGACCGGGCCUAGAACCUGGUGUGCCGGCACCGCUAGGUGGAGGAUUAGCCUAUUGAGCCGCGACGCCGGCUUCAAAUAAAUAAAUAAAUUUUUCAAAGUUGUGUGUUUGGACAUAAAAUGGAGAAGAAUAACUAAUAUAAUGUGUAAUUUUUGCUUUUAUUAUAUAGCAUACAAUAAUAGUGAAACCAGUUUCCUUGGAAAUAUGGAGUAAAAUUUGUAAAUAGAUAUUCACUGAGAUAUAAAAGUGACACAAGGAAUAAAUAUUUCUUUUUUAUAACCUAAAUAACAACAUAGGAAACUUUAAUGUCCUUUUCAUUCUAGCUAUCAUUUCUGAAUGUGAUGUAUUUGCCUUAAUUUAAAAUUCUAGUGAUCCUGAGGAAAGAAGAAAUGAAAAAACCUCCAGAGGAGCAUUUAUAAAACUCAUUCAAAUUUCAUCUUCAUGAUUGUCUGUGAAUUGUUCCUGCAUUUGUGGUGUUGCUUUGGUAUCAUCACUAGUUUCAUGCUCUUAUGAGCUAAUCCUUUUCAAACUGGGCCUUUGCCUUAACUAGAAGAUAAAAUGGUGAAUUAUUUACGCAAAGAUAUAAUAUCUCAAAUGUGAUUGGCUUUUAACUUGCUGUUGAUAGAUAUCUUUAUAGUUCUACGAUUGCCGUAUGUGUUUCGUGUAUUAGUAAGAUAUGAUGACUCUAAAAUAUGCAAUGAAUAAGACAGUGUCUUCAUUAUGAGUUUUAAUCGUACUUUAGAUAAAUACCAUGUAAUUCUACACAGGGCUCUUAAACUGAUCGUGUUAUUGAUCACCAUUUGCAUUUUCAGAAUAGAAUAACACAGUCAUUACAGUUUUUUUUUAAUUGUAAAAGGCCAACAAAUGUUUGAACAGAUACAACGGAAGGAUACCCCCAUUAGCAGUCAUAUCUAUUUAGCUGAAAAAAGUGGAAACAGAGAAAAAAACUGUUUCAUGUGCUUUCCUGCCUUGAGUAAUCUGUGUUGUCUAUUACAUAAGGGCAUCAAAAUUGGUAAAAAUAUUUUAAGGUAUACUAGGGUACAUGGUACCUAUUUCUCCAGAUCAACCUGAUAGAAUAUGCAUUUUAUGAUACAACAAUUCACUUUAAUUCAUUUUCAUUCAUUUAAUAUGAAUAUGGGAUAACUUUGCUUUUCCUUUUGUGUAUGUUACUUAUUUAAAUAUUUUUAUAGAGGAAAAUUCAAACGCAUACAAAGGUAAAAAAAAAAAAGGCAACUCUAUGCACCUAUCCCAUAGCUUCAAGAAAUACAUGUAUCUGGCCUAUCAUGUCUCACCUAGACCACACACUGUUUCAUCCAAAAGUACGCAGUAUGUAUCUGAAAAAAACCAUGUAAGCCUUACCAUAAAAACUAUUCACAUAAAAUUGGCUAUGGUUUCAGUGUCAGAAGAGUUUGGUAGGAUACAGGCGCAAGAGUAAGAGAUGUCCACUGGGACUUGAUGCUUGCGCCCACAAACAGAAAGGUUGUGACUCUCUCUGAUGCUUCUAUAAUUCCAACCAGUCUGCAUUAUGAAGUUAUUUCUUUCUUUUUUAAAAAAAUUUAUUUAUUAUUUAUUUGAAAGAGAGAGAGAGAGACAGAAAUCUUCCACCGCAGGUUCACUCCCCGAAUGGCCACAAAGGCCAACAUGGGGUCUGGCCAAAGGCAAGAGCCAGGAGCUUCUUCCGGAUCUCCCUCGUAGGUGCAGGGAGAUGUUCUUGAGCUGUCCUCUGCUGCUUCUCCAGGUGCAUUAGCAGGGAGCUGGAUCCGAAGUGGAGCAGCCAGGACUGGACCAGCUGCCAUUGCAGGAGGUGGUUUACCUUGCUGUGUCGCUACACUGACCCCAGUGAAGUCAUUUCUAACAUUCUUUCAUCGCGCUUUGGGAGCAGAUGAAUGGGCAAACUUGGGUGAUUAAAGCAAACUUGAAA
Molecule: non-coding RNA, 3146 nt
Organism: Oryctolagus cuniculus (rabbit)
Lineage: Eukaryota; Metazoa; Chordata; Mammalia; Lagomorpha; Leporidae
Source: RefSeq, a predicted model, not a curated record